Molecule: non-coding RNA, 31 nt
Filed under: Homo sapiens (human)
Lineage: Eukaryota; Metazoa; Chordata; Mammalia; Primates; Hominidae
Source: RNAcentral
UGCCCCCAUGUCUAACAACAUGGCUUUCUCA